CUUACACACAGAAACACAAAUAUGUAAACCCGUGGCAUCCUUCUACAAAGAUUCGCCUAUUUUUUAAGUCAUUGGAAUGUGUUCUGUGAAAAAGAAGAAAGCUAAAUGAAUACCAAAGAAAAAAACAAACUGAAAUAAAUGAAUAAUUACGGCACAAAAGUUGUCGUCACUGUGGAAAUGGGACUAGAUGGCUCAGUCAGAAAAGGCUGUGCAACUUCCACCUGGUCCUCUUGAACUGCUCACUCUCUGGGGAGGCCAGUUGCCGUGGGAGAAGUCUGUACUCUGAGGCUGCCAUACUGGAGGAGGCGUGUGCAGGUGCUCGGUGAGGAGCUCCUGAGGACUGCCGGCCCUGUGAGUCCAGCCCGUAGAAGAGGCCAUCUCCAGUCAACAUCUAACUGGCACUGCAUGAGAGACCCCAACAGACAACUGCCCAGCUGAGCCCUUCCUGAAUUUCUGGCCCAGAAAGUUAUGAACCACAUACGACAUUUGUUGUUUUAUACUACUAAGCUUCACCAUAGUUUGUUACACAGUACUAGUAAUCAGAACAAUUACUAUAGAGCAAAAUAGAAUUUAUGGCAAAAAAAAUUUCAACACUGUAAAAUAAGAUAUUUCAUAAUAAACUGAGAAAGAGAAACAUGUUUUAGGUACAUAUUUAUGCAUCAAAAACAUAAGUCUUGAAUAUGCAAAUAAGGAAUGGAG
Molecule: long non-coding RNA, 699 nt
Filed under: Equus asinus (donkey)
Lineage: Eukaryota; Metazoa; Chordata; Mammalia; Perissodactyla; Equidae
Description: lncRNA (ENSEASG00005025605.1)
Source: RNAcentral